UGUCUGAGUGUUGGAGUGUGCCCCUGGCUACAGGUAAAUGAUGUCUGAGUGUUGGAGUGUGCCCCUGGCUAUAGGUAAAUGAUGUCUGAGUGUUGGAGUGUACCCCUGGCUAUAGGUAAAUGAUGUCCGAGUGUUGGAGUGGUGCCCCUGGCUAUAGGUAAAUGAUGUCUGAGUGUUGGAGUGUACCCCUGGCUACAGGUAAAUGAUGUCUGAGUGUUGGAGUGUGCCCCUGGCUACAGGUAAAUGAUGUCUGAGUGUUGGAGUGUGCCCCUGGCUACAGGUAAAUGAUGUCUGAGUGUUGUAGUGUGCCCCUGGCUAUAGGUAAAUGAUGUCUGAGUGUUGGAGUGUACCCCUGGCUAUAGGUAAAUGAUGUCUGAGUGUUGGAGUGUACCCCUGGCUAUAGGUAAAUGAUGUCUGAGUGUUGGAGUGUACCCCUGGCUAUAGGUAAAUGAUGUCUGAGUGUUGGAGUGUGCUCCUGGCUAUAGGUAAAUGAUGUCUGAGUGUUGGAGUGUGCCCCUGGCUACAGGUAAAUGAUGUCUGAGUGUUGGAGUGUGCCCCUGGCUAUAGGUAAAUGAUGUCUGAGUGUUGGAGUGUGCCCCUGGCUAUAGGUAAAUGAUGUCUGAGUGUUGGAGUGUGCCCCUGGCUAUAGGUAAAUGAUGUCUGAGUGUUGGAGUGUACCCCUGGCUACAGGUAAAUGAUGUCUGAGUGUUGGAGUGUGCCCCUGGCUAUAGGUAAAUGAUGUCUGAGUGUUGGAGUGUACCCCUGGCUAUAGGUAAAUGAUGUCUGAGUGUUGGAGUGUGCCCCUGGCUAUAGGUAAAUGAUGUCUGAGUGUUGGAGUGUGCCCCUGGCUAUAGGUAAAUGAUGUCUGAGUGUUGGAGUGUACCCCUGGCUAUAGGUAAAUGAUG
Molecule: long non-coding RNA, 905 nt
Organism: Oncorhynchus keta (chum salmon)
Lineage: Eukaryota; Metazoa; Chordata; Actinopteri; Salmoniformes; Salmonidae
Exons: 4
Source: RefSeq, a predicted model, not a curated record